Symphalangus syndactylus (siamang) is the source of this 327-nucleotide long non-coding RNA. RefSeq lists it as uncharacterized. The record is from RefSeq and is a predicted model, not a curated record. NCBI's taxonomy places the organism in Eukaryota, Metazoa, Chordata, Mammalia, Primates, Hylobatidae.
AGUUAUAACAGUUAAGCAGAAUGGGAAAAUGGCAUACGAUCUAAUUUACCUUUCCAGCUCUUGGCACAUGGGAAAGGUAAAAACACCCCUGUGACAUCAUUCUCCUCCCAACUGAUGAGGAGCUGGAGAUGGCCCCAGUGGAGUUCUGGUGAUCACCUCCACAUCUCCAAAUAAUGUGCUUCUACCACCACUUCUUGCUUUACCAACUAUGCACUUUAUCUACUGACCUUCUACCGGGAUAAAUGAAGACUCAGCUCACUCAAAAACUCACCCGCCUCUCCUCCAUCCUUCUUCCCAAGACAGCUAAAUCAGUUCUUAAUUCUUCUA